GGGGAGGUGGAACAGAGCUGGGAGACCUGGUCCAACCAGGGAGGAAGUGGGCCAGGCUUUGGGCUGGAGGACAGGAAGCCUUGGCCAUGCAGGCAGGGGCGCGGAGCUGUGCUGACAGCUGGCACUGCUUUACAACUCCGGGAAGGGAAGCCCUCAGGGACUUUGUGCCCCAGUGCCUGCUGUGGAGAAGAGGCACAGAGGUGUUGUGAUUCCUCUCUGGGGAACAACCUCCUACUUUUUUGCCUGCACAUAUUCUGGCCUCUGUACAGUGGCCUCAGAUCACCAUCCUUGGAGUGUGUCAUCUGAGCAGCCAGGACAUGUACUGGGAGGCUGUUUGGCAGGUGUAGGGACUGCAGAGAGAUGAGGAGGUCAGGCUGUCCCCACAGCCCUUACUGGAAGCUCCCACGGAAAUGUCUCUGUGACUCAGCUCAGACGUCACAUCCUCCUGGGAGCAUCCUGAUCCAGUGCCCACAGAUGCCAAGGGAACGUGCAGCCUCCGUCUCUCUGUGUGAAAAAUGAAAGGAGUUUGAUAUGGGAAUUUAUUUCACCUCCAAUGCCCCCAGAGCCAGGCACAGUGGAACAAUCCAGUCAUCCCAGCAUUUGGGAGGCUGAGUCAGGAAGAUCACAAUUUGCAACCCAUGCUGAGUUACACAGUAAGACCCAGUCUUCAGAAAAGAAGAUAGACUAAAGAAAGCCUCUGGGAUUCCAAUGAGGAUUUUCCUAUGGUGAUUUCACCCUUCUCUCUAGUCCGUGAGCUCCUUAAAAGUGAGAGACUAUUUCUUUUCCCAUACCCAGUGACCAGUUCAGGGCUUGGUAAUUUAGACAUACAAUAAUGCAUUUGUGAUGUAUGGCUGGAGGGCUGGGUAGAGAGGACAGACUCAGUGGAUAGUGAAGUCUGUUCUUCUUGCUCAACAUCACAUGGAAACCCGGCAUGGUGGUGCACGCCUGUAAUCCCAGCA
This 959-nucleotide long non-coding RNA is filed under the name Fukomys damarensis (Damara mole-rat). RNAcentral describes it as "lncRNA (ENSFDAG00000024345.1)". The record is from RNAcentral. Lineage: Eukaryota; Metazoa; Chordata; Mammalia; Rodentia; Bathyergidae.